RNAcentral lists this unclassified non-coding RNA (346 nucleotides) under soil metagenome. Its description in RNAcentral is "partial contains 5.8S ribosomal RNA, internal transcribed spacer 2, and large subunit ribosomal RNA". The stretch from base 1 to 119 matches the Rfam family "5.8S ribosomal RNA", at positions 35 to 154 of the family's 154-position model. The record is from RNAcentral.
GAUGAAGAACGGAGCGAAAUGCGAUACGUAAUGUGAAUUGCAAAUUCAGUGAAUCAUCGAGUCUUUGAACGCACAUUGCGCCCCCUGGUAUUCCGGGGGGCAUGCCUGUCCGAGCGUCAUUGCUGCCCUCAAGCACGGCUUGUGUGUUGGGCCCCGUCCUCCGAUCCCGGGGGACGGGCCCGAAAGGCAGCGGCGGCACCGCGUCCGGUCCUCGAGCGUAUGGGGCUUUGUCACCCGCUCUGUAGGCCCGGCCGGCGCUUGCCGAUCAACCCAAAUUUUUUAUCCAGGUUGACCUCGGAUCAGGUAGGGAUACCCGCUGAACUUAAGCAUAUCAAUAAGCGGAGGA